CUGCCGGCAGCCGUACACAUGCAGUCGAGCGGAACGAUGGAGCUUGCUCCAGGCGUCGAGCGGCGGACGGGUGAGUAAUGCAUAGGAAUCUGCCCGGUAGUGGGGGAUAACCUGGGGAAACUCAGGCUAAUACCGCAUACGCCCUACGGGGGAAAGCAGGGGCUCUUCGGACCUUGCGCUAUCGGAUGAGCCUAUGUCGGAUUAGCUAGUUGGUGAGGUAAUGGCUCACCAAGGCGACGAUCCGUAGCUGGUCUGAGAGGAUGAUCAGCCACAUCGGGACUGAGACACGGCCCGAACUCCUACGGGAGGCAGCAGUGGGGAAUAUUGGACAAUGGGCGAAAGCCUGAUCCAGCCAUGCCGCGUGUGUGAAGAAGGCUUUCGGGUUGUAAAGCACUUUCAGUGAGGAAGAACGCCUUGGGGUUAAUACCCCCGAGGGAAGACAUCACUCACAGAAGAAGCACCGGCUAACUCCGUGCCAGCAGCCGCGGUAAUACGGAGGGUGCAAGCGUUAAUCGGAAUUACUGGGCGUAAAGCGCGCGUAGGCGGCGUGAUAAGCCGGUUGUGAAAGCCCCGGGCUCAACCUGGGAACGGCAUCCGGAA
This 600-nucleotide ribosomal RNA is filed under the name Halomonas fontilapidosi. RNAcentral's name for it is "bacterial SSU rRNA". It matches the Rfam family "Bacterial small subunit ribosomal RNA", at positions 36 to 632 of the family's 1533-position model. Lineage: Bacteria; Pseudomonadati; Pseudomonadota; Gammaproteobacteria; Oceanospirillales; Halomonadaceae. The record is from RNAcentral.